Molecule: ribosomal RNA, 1522 nt
Filed under: Escherichia coli
Lineage: Bacteria; Pseudomonadati; Pseudomonadota; Gammaproteobacteria; Enterobacterales; Enterobacteriaceae
Description: bacterial SSU rRNA
Rfam family: Bacterial small subunit ribosomal RNA
Source: RNAcentral
AGAGUUUGAUCAUGGCUCAGAUUGAACGCUGGCGGCAGGCCUAACACAUGCAAGUCGAACGGUAACAGNNNNNNNNNNNNNNNNNNGCUGACGAGUGGCGGACGGGUGAGUAAUGUCUGGGAAACUGCCUGAUGGAGGGGGAUAACUACUGGAAACGGUAGCUAAUACCGCAUAACGUCGCAAGACCAAAGAGGGGGACCUUCGGGCCUCUUGCCAUCGGAUGUGCCCAGAUGGGAUUAGCUUGUUGGUGGGGUAACGGCUCACCAAGGCGACGAUCCCUAGCUGGUCUGAGAGGAUGACCAGCCACACUGGAACUGAGACACGGUCCAGACUCCUACGGGAGGCAGCAGUGGGGAAUAUUGCACAAUGGGCGCAAGCCUGAUGCAGCCAUGCCGCGUGUAUGAAGAAGGCCUUCGGGUUGUAAAGUACUUUCAGCGGGGAGGAAGGGAGUAAAGUUAAUACCUUUGCUCAUUGACGUUACCCGCAGAAGAAGCACCGGCUAACUCCGUGCCAGCAGCCGCGGUAAUACGGAGGGUGCAAGCGUUAAUCGGAAUUACUGGGCGUAAAGCGCACGCAGGCGGUUUGUUAAGUCAGAUGUGAAAUCCCCGGGCUCAACCUGGGAACUGCAUCUGAUACUGGCAAGCUUGAGUCUCGUAGAGGGGGGUAGAAUUCCAGGUGUAGCGGUGAAAUGCGUAGAGAUCUGGAGGAAUACCGGUGGCGAAGGCGGCCCCCUGGACGAAGACUGACGCUCAGGUGCGAAAGCGUGGGGAGCAAACAGGAUUAGAUACCCUGGUAGUCCACGCCGUAAACGAUGUCGACUUGGAGGUUGUGCCCUUGAGGCGUGGCUUCCGGAGCUAACGCGUUAAGUCGACCGCCUGGGGAGUACGGCCGCAAGGUUAAAACUCAAAUGAAUUGACGGGGGCCCGCACAAGCGGUGGAGCAUGUGGUUUAAUUCGAUGCAACGCGAAGAACCUUACCUGGUCUUGACAUCCACGGAAGUUUUCAGAGAUGAGAAUGUGCCUUCGGGAACCGUGAGACAGGUGCUGCAUGGCUGUCGUCAGCUCGUGUUGUGAAAUGUUGGGUUAAGUCCCGCAACGAGCGCAACCCUUAUCCUUUGUUGCCAGCGGUCCGGCCGGGAACUCAAAGGAGACUGCCAGUGAUAAACUGGAGGAAGGUGGGGAUGACGUCAAGUCAUCAUGGCCCUUACGACCAGGGCUACACACGUGCUACAAUGGCGCAUACAAAGAGAAGCGACCUCGCGAGAGCAAGCGGACCUCAUAAAGUGCGUCGUAGUCCGGAUUGGAGUCUGCAACUCGACUCCAUGAAGUCGGAAUCGCUAGUAAUCGUGGAUCAGAAUGCCACGGUGAAUACGUUCCCGGGCCUUGUACACACCGCCCGUCACACCAUGGGAGUGGGUUGCAAAAGAAGUAGGUAGCUUAACCUUCGGGAGGGCGCUUACCACUUUGUGAUUCAUGACUGGGGUGAAGUCGUAACAAGGUAACCGUAGGGGAACCUGCGGUUG